This 554-nucleotide ribosomal RNA is filed under the name uncultured bacterium. RNAcentral describes it as "partial 16S ribosomal RNA". It matches the Rfam family "Bacterial small subunit ribosomal RNA", at positions 355 to 900 of the family's 1533-position model. The record is from RNAcentral.
UAGGGAAUCUUCCACAAUGGACGCAAGUCUGAUGGAGCAACGCCGCGUGAGUGAAGAAGGUCUUCGGAUCGUAAAGCUCUGUUGUUGGUGAAGAAGGAUAGAGGCAGUAACUGGUCUUUAUUUGACGGUAAUCAACCAGAAAGUCACGGCUAACUACGUGCCAGCAGCCGCGGUAAUACGUAGGUGGCAAGCAUUGUCCGGAUUUAUUGGGCGUAAAGCGAGCGCAGGCGGAAUGAUAAGUCUGAUGUGAAAGCCCACGGCUCAACCGUGGAACUGCAUCGGAAACUGUCAUUCUUGAGUGCAGAAGAGGAGAGUGGAACUCCAUGUGUAGCGGUGGAAUGCGUAGAUAUAUGGAAGAACACCAGUGGCGAAGGCGGCUCUCUGGUCUGCAACUGACGCUGAGGCUCGAAAGCAUGGGUAGCGAACAGGAUUAGAUACCCUGGUAGUCCAUGCCGUAAACGAUGAGCGCUAGGUGUUGGGGACUUUCCGGUCCUCAGUGCCGCAGCAAACGCAUUAAGCGCUCCGCCUGGGGAGUACGACCGCAAGGUUGAAAC